RNAcentral lists this transfer RNA (72 nucleotides) under Salmo salar (Atlantic salmon). It matches the Rfam family "tRNA". Rfam says of the family: Transfer RNA (tRNA) molecules are approximately 80 nucleotides in length. The record is from Rfam by way of RNAcentral. Lineage: Eukaryota; Metazoa; Chordata; Actinopteri; Salmoniformes; Salmonidae.
UCCCGUGUGGCUCAGUUGGUAGAGCAUGGUGCUUGCAACACCAGGGUUGUGGGUUCGAAUCCCCCAAGGGAC